GGCCCCUUAGCUCAGUUGGUUAGAGCAGGCGACUCAUAAUCGCUUGGUCACUGGUUCAAGUCCAGUAGGGGCCACCA
Molecule: transfer RNA, 77 nt
Filed under: Morganella morganii
Lineage: Bacteria; Pseudomonadati; Pseudomonadota; Gammaproteobacteria; Enterobacterales; Morganellaceae
Also listed under: 111 other names
Description: tRNA-Met
Rfam family: tRNA
About the family: Transfer RNA (tRNA) molecules are approximately 80 nucleotides in length.
Source: RNAcentral